GGGUUGUGAGGUUAAGCGACUAAGCGUACACGGUGGAUGCCCUGGCAGUCAGAGGCGAUGAAGGACGUGCUAAUCUGCGAUAAGCGUCGGUAAGGUGAUAUGAACCGUUAUAACCGGCGAUUUCCGAAUGGGGAAACCCAGUGUGAUUCGUCACACUAUCGUUAACUGAAUACAUAGGUUAACGAAGCGAACCGGGGGAACUGAAACAUCUAAGUACCCCGAGGAAAAGAAAUCAA
Molecule: ribosomal RNA, 236 nt
Filed under: Salmonella enterica subsp. enterica serovar Kentucky
Lineage: Bacteria; Pseudomonadati; Pseudomonadota; Gammaproteobacteria; Enterobacterales; Enterobacteriaceae
Description: partial 23S ribosomal RNA
Rfam family: Bacterial large subunit ribosomal RNA
Source: RNAcentral